UAGGGAAUCUUCCACAAUGGACGCAAGUCUGAUGGAGCAACGCCGCGUGAGUGAAGAAGGUUUUCGGACCGUAAAGCUCUGUUGUUGGUGAAGAAGGAUAGAGGUAGUAACUGGCCUUUAUUUGACGGUAAUCAACCAGAAAGUCACGGCUAACUACGUGCCAGCAGCCGCGGUAAUACGUAGGUGGCAAGCGUUGUCCGGAUUUAUUGGGCGUAAAGCGAGCGCAGGCGGAAGAAUAAGUCUGAUGUGAAAGCCCUCGGCUUAACCGAGGAAUUGCAUCGGAAACUGUUUUCUUGAGUGCAGAAGAGGAGAGUAGAACUCCAUGUGUAGCGGUGGAAUGCGUAGAUAUAUGGAAGAAUACCAGUGGCGAAGGCGGCUCUCUGGUCUGCAACUGACGCUGAGGCUCGAAAGCAUGGGUAGCGAACAGGAUUAGAUACCCUGGUAGUCCAUGCCGUAAAACGAUGAGUGCUAAGUGUUG
RNAcentral lists this ribosomal RNA (478 nucleotides) under uncultured bacterium. Its description in RNAcentral is "partial 16S ribosomal RNA". It matches the Rfam family "Bacterial small subunit ribosomal RNA", at positions 355 to 825 of the family's 1533-position model. The record is from RNAcentral.